Molecule: ribosomal RNA, 468 nt
Filed under: uncultured bacterium
Lineage: Bacteria
Description: partial 16S ribosomal RNA
Rfam family: Bacterial small subunit ribosomal RNA
Source: RNAcentral
GACGAACGCUGGCGGCGUGCUUAACACAUGCAAGCCGAACGGAAAGGCCCUGCUUUUGUGGGGUGCUCGAGUGGCGAACGGGUGAGUAACACGUGAGUAACCUGCCCUUGACUUUGGGAUAACUUCAGGAAACUGGGGUACAUACCGGAUAGGAGCUCCUGCUGCAUGGUGGGGGUAGGCAAGUUUCGGCGGUUGGGGAUGGACUCGCGGCUUAUCAGCUUGUUGGUGAGGUAGUGGCUUACCAAGGCGUUGACGGGUAGCCGGCCUGAGAGGGUGACCGGCCACAUUGGGACUGAGAUACGGCCCGGACUACUACGGGAGGCAGCAGUGGGGAAUAUUGCACAAUGGGCCGAAGCCUGAUGCAGCAACGCCGCGUGCGGGAUUACGGCCUUCGGGUUGUAAACCGCUUUCGCCUGUUACGAAGCGUGAGUGACGGUAAUGGGUAAAGAAGCACCGGCUAACUACGUG